This 1469-nucleotide ribosomal RNA is filed under the name Saccharum spontaneum (wild sugarcane). Its description in RNAcentral is "bacterial SSU rRNA". It matches the Rfam family "Bacterial small subunit ribosomal RNA". The record is from RNAcentral. Lineage: Eukaryota; Viridiplantae; Streptophyta; Magnoliopsida; Poales; Poaceae.
AGCGUUCGAUCCUGGCUCAGGAUGAACGCUGGCGGAUGCUUAAACACAUGCAAGUCGAACGGGAGUGGUGUUUCCAGUGGCGAACGGAGUGAGAACGGUAAGAACCUGCCCUGGGAGUUGGAGCAAACAAACUGGAAAACAGGUUGCUAAUAACCCGUAGGAUGAGGAGCAAAAGGAGAAAUCCGCCCCAAAGGAGGGGCUCGCGUAGAUUAGCUAGUUGGUGAGGCCAAUAGCUUACAAAGGCGAUGAUCAGUAGCUUGUCCGAGAGGCUGAUCGCCCACAUGGGAAUGAGCACGGCCCAGACUCCUACGGGAGGCAGCAGUGGGGAAUUUCCGCAUGGCGGAAAAGCCUGACGGAGCAAUGCCGCGUGGAGGUGGAACAUACGGGUCGUCCAACUUCCUUUUCUCGGGAAGAAAACAAUGACGUAUCUGAGGACUACGCAUCGGCUAACCUGUGCCAGCCGCCGCGGUAAAGACAGAGGCUGCAAGCGUUAUCCGGAAUGAUUGGGUAAGCGUUGAGGUGGCUUUUCAAGUCCGCGUCAAAUCCCCGGGCUCAACCCUGGACAGGCGGUGGAAACACCAAAGUGGAGUACGGGAGGGGCAGAGGGAAUUUCCGGUGGAAGAGGUGAAAUGCCUGAGAUCGGAAGAACACCAAACGGCGACAGCACUCUGCUGGGCCGACACACUGACAAUGAGAGACGAAAAGCUAGGGGAAGCAAAUGGGAUUAGCGGGACCACAGUAGUCCUAGCAGUAAACGAUGGAUACUUAGGUGCUGUGCGAUCGGACCCGUGCAGGCUGUAGCUAACGCGUUAGUAUCCGCCUGGUGAGUACGUCGCAAGAAUGAAACUCAAAGGAAUUGGACGGGGGCUCCGCACAAAGCGGUGGAGCAUGUGGUUUAAUUCGAUGCAAGACGAAGAACCUUACCAGGGCUGACAUGCCGCGAAUCCUCUGAAAGAGAGGGGUUGCCCUCGGGGACCGCGGGACACAGGUUGGUGGAUGGCUGUCGUCAGCUCGUGCCGUAAGGUGUUGGGUUUAAGUUAGCACGAGCGGCAACCCUCGUGUUAGUUGCCCACUAUGAGUUGAACCUGAACAGACCGCCGGUGUUAAGCGGAGGAGGAGAGGAUGAGGCCAGUCAUCAGCCCCUUAUGCAUGGGCGACACCCCCCCACGGCUACAACUGGGCGGGAAAAGGGUCGCGUAUCUCGCGAGGGUGAGCUAACUACAAAAACCCGUCCUUCAGUGUCGGAUUGCAGGCUGCAACUCGCCUGCAUGUGAAGCAGGAAUCGCUAGUAAUCGCCGGUCAGCCAUACGGCGGGAAUCCGUCCGGGCCUUGUAAAACCAGCCCGUCAAACUAUAGGAGCUGGCCAGGUUUGAGUCAUUACCCUUAACCUAAGGAGGGGCGAUGCCUAAGGCCUAGGAUGCGACUGGAGUGAAGUGUAACAGGUAGGCCCGUACUGGAAGGUGCGGCUG